CAGAGUUUGAUCCGGCUCAGGAUGAACGCUAGCGACAGGCCUAACACAUGCAAGUCGAGGGGCAGCGGAGAGGUAGCAAUACCUUUGCCGGCGACCGGCGCACGGGUGAGUAACACGUAUGCAACCCACCUGUAACAGGGGGAUAACCCGGAGAAAUCCGGACUAAUACCCCAUAAUAUGGGCGCCUCCGCAGUGGAGACGCCUAAUUAAAGAGAGACUAAGUUUUGGUUACAGACGAGCAUGCG
Molecule: ribosomal RNA, 245 nt
Filed under: uncultured bacterium
Lineage: Bacteria
Description: partial 16S ribosomal RNA
Rfam family: Bacterial small subunit ribosomal RNA
Source: RNAcentral